RNAcentral lists this unclassified non-coding RNA (337 nucleotides) under soil metagenome. RNAcentral describes it as "partial contains 5.8S ribosomal RNA, internal transcribed spacer 2, and large subunit ribosomal RNA". The stretch from base 1 to 120 matches the Rfam family "5.8S ribosomal RNA", at positions 35 to 154 of the family's 154-position model. The record is from RNAcentral.
GAUGAAGAACGUAGCGAAAAGCGAUAAGUAAUGUGAAUUGCAGAAUUCAGUGAAUCAUCGAAUCUUUGAACGCACAUUGCGCCCGCCAGUAUUCUGGCGGGCAUGCCUGUUCGAGCGUCAUUUCAACCAUCAAGCCCCCGGGCUUGUGUUGGGGACCUGCGGCUGCCGCAGGCCCUGAAAAGCAGUGGCGGGCUCGCUGUCACACCGAGCGUAGUAGAUUUUAUCUCGCUCUGGGCGUGCCGCGGGUUCCGGCCGUUAAACCACCCUUUUAACCCAAGGUUGACCUCGGAUCAGGUAGGAAGACCCGCUGAACUUAAGCAUAUCAAUAAGCGGAGGA